ACAGGAGGAAGUCUAGAAGAGAUUCAGAAAGUAGUUGAUCACUGUAGAAAAUCAGCUGAUAGUGAAGCCCAGAGAGUAUUUGGAGUAGUCCGAUAGAUGACUGAAGGAGCUCAUUAUUGAAGAAGUCCGGAGGGUAUGAUAGGAGUUCAUCCGUUGGAGAAAUCUGGAGGACACUGUAGAAGGUCGACUGCUGGAGGAGUCCGGAUGGUACUGUGGAAGCUCGGACGGUCGGGGGAGUUCAGAAAGACGCCGCACAAGGUCGGAAG
Molecule: long non-coding RNA, 266 nt
Filed under: Elaeis guineensis (African oil palm)
Lineage: Eukaryota; Viridiplantae; Streptophyta; Magnoliopsida; Arecales; Arecaceae
Description: long non-coding RNA (EGUI_LNC077539)
Source: RNAcentral